This 253-nucleotide ribosomal RNA is filed under the name uncultured bacterium. Its description in RNAcentral is "partial 16S ribosomal RNA". It matches the Rfam family "Bacterial small subunit ribosomal RNA", at positions 524 to 776 of the family's 1533-position model. The record is from RNAcentral.
UACGUAGGGUGCGAGCGUUGUCCGGAAUUAUUGGGCGUAAAGAGCUUGUAGGCGGUUUGUCGCGUCUGCCGUGAAAAUCCGGGGCUCAACCCCGGACUUGCGGUGGGUACGGGCAGGCUAGAGUGUGGUAGGGGAGACUGGAAUUCCUGGUGUAGCGGUGAAAUGCGCAGAUAUCAGGAGGAACACCGAUGGCGAAGGCAGGUCUCUGGGCCACUACUGACGCUGAGAAGCGAAAGCGUGGGGAGCAAACAGG